Molecule: ribosomal RNA, 535 nt
Filed under: uncultured bacterium
Lineage: Bacteria
Description: bacterial SSU rRNA
Rfam family: Bacterial small subunit ribosomal RNA
Source: RNAcentral
AAUAGAUACCCCGGUAGUCCACGCCGUAAACGGUGGGCACUAGGUGUGGGCAGCAUUCCACGUUGUCCGUGCCGUAGCUAACGCAUUAAGUGCCCCGCCUGGGGAGUACGGCCGCAAGGCUAAAAACUCAAAGGAAUUGACGGGGGCCCGCACAAGCGGCGGAGCAUGUGGCUUAAUUCGACGCAACGCGAAGAACCUUACCAAGGCUUGACAUACACCGGAAACAUCCAGAGAUGGGUGCCCCCUUGUGGUCGGUGUACAGGUGGUGCAUGGCUGUCGUCAGCUCGUGUCGUGAGAUGUUGGGUUAAGUCCCGCAACGAGCGCAACCCUUGUCCCGUGUUGCCAGCAGGCCCUUGUGGUGCUGGGGACUCACGGGAGACCGCCGGGGUCAACUCGGAGGAAGGUGGGGACGACGUCAAGUCAUCAUGCCCCUUAUGUCUUGGGCUGCACACGUGCUACAAUGGCCGGUACAAAGAGCUGCGAUACCGUGAGGUGGAGCGAAUCUCAAAAAGCCGGUCUCAGUUCGGAUUGGGGU